This is a long non-coding RNA of Sinocyclocheilus grahami, 1279 nucleotides long. RefSeq lists it as uncharacterized. The record is from RefSeq and is a predicted model, not a curated record. NCBI's taxonomy places the organism in Eukaryota, Metazoa, Chordata, Actinopteri, Cypriniformes, Cyprinidae. The transcript has 7 exons.
AUUUGUGUUUCUUCAGUGGGAAUGCUGUGGGGCGUUUGGAGCAGAUGACUGGAACCUCAACGUUUACUUCAACUGCACAGACAGCAACCCCAGCCGUGAAAAAUGUGGCGUGCCCUUCUCCUGUUGCACCAAAGACCCAGCGGAGGAUGUUAUCAACACACAGUGUGGAUAUGAUGUUCGGGCAAAAUCGGACGCAGAGCAGAAGACAUACAUUCAUGUCAAAGGCUGUGUGCCGCAGUUUGAGAAAUGGCUACAGGACAACCUGACGGUAGUGGCUGGGAUCUUCAUCGGCGUCGCUCUGCUGCAGAUAUUUGGAAUAUGCCUUGCACAAAAUUUAAUCAGCGAUAUUGAAGCUGUGAGAGCCAGCUGGGUGCCGCCCCCCUCUUACGUCGCCUGCCGCCCCCCGUCCCACUACAGCAAGAAAGCCUCUGUGUACUCCUGAGGGAGGUUGGCCUGUUUGUUCACAUGAAGUGGCAGCUAGUCGUUCAGACACUCACAGGCCUAUGCCAGCAUGAUGAAGGUAGCAAAUGAUGAACACAAGAUGCCAAGUGCACUGGAUUGUGUGUGUGUGUGCGUGUGCACAGUAAUCUUUUACCAUCUAUAAAUAGUGCUACUUUUUCUAGAGUGUUUUAUGUGUCAAAACACACGUGUAAUGUGAAAAAAUAUUUGUGUCCACAGAGGCUGCGUUAACCAAAAAAAUGUCCACCAUUUGCCGGACUGCAAAAACAUUACAAAAAGCAUCAUUCAAAACGCUUUCCGUCACUUUGACAAAAAAGAAAUAAUAGGCAAAAGCAUAUCUGAAAUGUUUUCUUGUAAAAUGAAUCGGGUGUGUCUCAAUCGGCUCACUAGUCAGCACACUGUCCAGGGCACUGAACGUUUCUCACUAAAAAAUCCCACAAUGCACUACAUACUAUGUACUAAUGUUAAAUAUCACAUAAACAUUUUAAUAACAACAAAUGAGAUUAUUUUGGCAUAAUGAUUUUAUUUUAUUAAGCUACACUCUAAAUUAAACUUUAAUGCAUUAGUAACUAACAUGAUAAUAUCCAUACAAAGUAACAAAUGAAUGUGAUUAGCUACUUCAGGUGGCAGUAAUGCAGUAAUGCAACACAUAUGUUCUUCCACUCCGAGAACUGAUAAAUCGAACCUACCGGUUUCAUCGGACUAAAUGAAUGGUCAAAAGACACCAUGAUAAUAACAACAGGCCAUAUGUAUUAGCUGGUUACUUCUUAAAGGGACAGUUCACCCAAAAAUGAAAUUCUUGUCAUCGUUUACUCACCCU